CUGAUUCAGGGAGGUAGCGACAAGAAAUAACGAUAGUGGGCUCGUUCGAGUCCGCGCAUCGGAAUGAGGAUAAUUUACACCCCUUCUCGAGGAUCCAUUGGAGGGCAAGCCUGGUGCCAGCAGCCGCGGUAAUUCCAGCUCCAAUAGCGUAUACUAAAGUUGUUGCAGUUAAAAAGCUCGUAGUCGAAUGAAGGUUUCUUGUAUAGCGCGGACGUCUAGGUGUAACUUAGAUUAGUUUGCGCACAAGAACCUCCCUUGUGUGUCUCAGAGGAGCAAAUAUUUAUUUAUUUUGAUCCAUUUGCGACACACACAUUACUGUGAACAAAAUAGAGUGUUCAUGGCAGGUCAAUUUAGGCUUGAAUACCUCAGCAUGGAAUAAUAGAAUAGGACUUCCGGUUCUAUUUUGUUGGUUUUUGGAGCCGAAGUAAUGAUUAAUAGGGAUAGUUGGGGGCACUCGUACUCCGUUGUCAGAGGUGAAAUUCUAGGAUUGACGGAAGACGAACAA
This 505-nucleotide ribosomal RNA is filed under the name uncultured Cryptophyta. RNAcentral's name for it is "bacterial SSU rRNA". It matches the Rfam family "Eukaryotic small subunit ribosomal RNA", at positions 451 to 942 of the family's 1831-position model. Lineage: Eukaryota; Cryptophyceae. The record is from RNAcentral.